Molecule: long non-coding RNA, 549 nt
Organism: Orcinus orca (killer whale)
Lineage: Eukaryota; Metazoa; Chordata; Mammalia; Artiodactyla; Delphinidae
Exons: 4
Source: RefSeq, a predicted model, not a curated record
UGUUGCUGCGAUGGCUCUUGUCGAUGCUGAGGAUAAAGAGGCUGAUGUAGGCGUCCAGCGAGAACUGGUACAUGGGGUCGAUGCGGCCCAUGUCGUUGAGCACGAAGAACAGCACCGAGGCCCGCUGGGCGCAUGGGCGCUCCUCGAGCUGCCUCUUGCCAGCGGCGAUAUUGACGACCAGUGAGUCCUUCUGCUCUUCCAGCUCCGGCCGCUCCUUCCGGACCACGACGCCCAGCAGCUGGGCCUCCAGGCCCUGGGAUCGCCAGGACUCGUGGUGGCCACCUGCACCCACAGGAGGGUCAAGGGAAAGGACCCCACGUGACCAGGUGUGGGCUGACCCGUUGUUCCCCAACUGGAAUCCAGUAGCAGCGACUCAGCCUGCCCUAAUGUCCCCGGCCCAGGGCUGUCUGAAUACAGGGACAGGGCCUGGGCCUGAGGAUCAAUCAUCAGUGCCCACCUGAAGGAGGAAGCGUGAGUCAGAAGACAGGCUCUCUGCCCUUACUCAGCCUCGUGCUCCCAGCAGCACCCUUACCUGUUGCCACGGGUGAC